RNAcentral lists this non-coding RNA (77 nucleotides) under uncultured Reyranella sp. RNAcentral's name for it is "chrB-a RNA". It matches the Rfam family "chrB-a RNA". The record is from RNAcentral. Lineage: Bacteria; Pseudomonadati; Pseudomonadota; Alphaproteobacteria; Hyphomicrobiales; Reyranellaceae.
AUGGGGAUCGCGAUCUCCCCACGAGGCGACAGCCGAAGCAUCGCGUCCUGCCUUGUUUGACAAAGGACGCUGCCAUG